This 261-nucleotide long non-coding RNA is filed under the name Carica papaya (papaya). RNAcentral describes it as "long non-coding RNA (CPAP_LNC007153)". Lineage: Eukaryota; Viridiplantae; Streptophyta; Magnoliopsida; Brassicales; Caricaceae. The record is from RNAcentral.
AAAGCUCCUUCCACCAAACCUUCUUGCCUCAUUUGCUUUCUUUGUUUUUGAGCCUGUAGAGCAUUUAACAAUUUUGCUAACGUAAUCUUUGACAGAUCUCUUAAGUUUUCCAGAGAGGUAAUUAUAGCUUUGAAUUUUUCAAGGAUUUUAACAAGAAUUUUUUAAACAAUUCUAGAAUUAGAAAAAUUAGUGUCAAGAAGUCUUACUUUAUUGGCGAUACAGAGAAGUUUGUCUACAUUAUAUUUGAUAGUUUCUGACUCU